Non-coding RNA from Hydra vulgaris (swiftwater hydra), 454 nucleotides. Lineage: Eukaryota; Metazoa; Cnidaria; Hydrozoa; Anthoathecata; Hydridae. The record is from RefSeq and is a predicted model, not a curated record.
UCCAAAAUUAUGGUAGAAUUGAGAGAAAUUGGUAAAGAAAAAGUUGAAAGAUUAGCUGUGCUAAUCAGUUCACCAGAUCUUUCAGAAUCCCAACUUUUGGGUAUUUUAAUUGUGAAAGAUGGCACUGCUGAGUCUCUUGGAAAGCAAUCAAAAAAACUUUACAAGACUGGGAGCUAUUUGACUAUGUUGAUUGUCUGUCCUUUGAUACCACAGUCACAAAUACUGGUUGGCUAAAAGGAGUCUGUACUCUUAUUGAGCAGUGGAGAGGAAAAGCUUUGAUUUGGAUGGCUUGACGUCAUCAUGUCUACGAAUUACAUAUAAAGCACUUUUCAAGUGUUCUUACUGGAGGUAAAACAAGUGGACCAAAGACUGAGUUAUUUGAAAGGCUAAAGUGUAAUUGGAAAUCGAUUCUUGAAAAGAAGAUAAAUUAUGAUAACCUAAAGAGAUUUGACUC